This is an RNA transcript of Hirundo rustica (Barn swallow), 2754 nucleotides long. It is a transcript of the gene named zinc finger B-box domain containing, with no coding region annotated. The record is from RefSeq and is a predicted model, not a curated record. The transcript has 21 exons. Lineage: Eukaryota; Metazoa; Chordata; Aves; Passeriformes; Hirundinidae.
CUGUUAUUUAUCAUCCCACCUGUUUUUUUCUUUUUCUUUCCCCCCCGCUGCUCGGGCUGGAGCUGCUGCAGCUCGCAGGGCAGUGGCUGUAGCUCCAUAGCGUGGGUCCUGCCCUCUCCAGGAAGCUGAGAUCCACGAGCUGCAGAAGCUUCCAAGCACCCUGUCAGCUGUUCCUAACUGAAAUUCUCUUUUUGAGGAGAAGUUAUACUGGGCAUCAUGAAUGUCAGUGAUUUUGUAAUUCUCCCGGGCUCAAAAGCUGGAACCUCAGUGAGAUUAAAAACAAAAACUGUAAAGGAAUUGCAGUUGGAGAAAGUGCAGUUAGAAGCAGAAAACAAAGAGAUGGAGGAGAGGUUGCGGCAGCUGCAGUCAAACAUGAGCAAAGAAAAAGAAGAGAGGAGGAAGUUAGGUGCUUAUCACUGGAAAUCUGGGCAGGCAGGACCAAGGACCACCCCACCCCGAGCUGGGGCACAAAAUAAUGAAAACAGGAAGAAGGUUUCUCCAGAAAAAGUGAAGUUGCAAGUACUCAAGAAACAGAGUCAAGACCCAGUGAAAAAAACAGUUAAACCUGAAAGAGAUGUUGUAGCUCAUGAAAAAUUGGGAGUGAAGGGGAUUGCCUGUGGAUCACCUGAAAUUAGGGGUGGGCUGCUGGAACCAGCCUCAGAACCAACCUGUGCAAGCCCUGGAAGGCAGGACAAAGGACUGCUGCAGAGUGGGGCCUUCGAUGAGGAGGCAUCUGCAAAGGCUUUUCAGGAAGCUUUGCUUCAGUGGAGAGAAGGUAAAAGUGAUCCUGGAGGAGAUCCAUGUGCCAGUGGGGUCCCACCAGAACCUGUGGGGGUUUGUGAGGUCCAGACCAAUGUUACUGCUCUGAAGGAACCCAUCCAGGUGGAGUUCCAGAAGGAUGGCCUGAGCUACAUGGAGAAACUCCUGCUGAAGAAAUACAGAAGAACUCCUGUUGAUCAAUUUUUUUCGAGUUGCAUGAAGGAUUCAAGGCCUGUGCAAGCUCUGAGUGUUCACCAGGCUGGGGUUGGAGGAGAGGGACAAAGAGAUGAUGAUGACAUUGAGGAGUUAACAGCUGAAGAGGUGAAGAAAUACUGGGCAUCUGUUUAUAGAGUUGAAGAAUCCAACACUGUUUGUGAAAAUGCAGCGUCCUCUUUGAAAAUUGAGUUCCUUGAUGAUUCUCACGGCAAGGACUUGGGAGACUCUUCAGUGGAGGAAACUGGAGCUGUGGGGAUGAAUAAGCAAGGAAAGACUGACCCACUGGAGUGUGGAAGGUGUCAGAAAUGCAGAGAUUGUGGGGGAGGAAAGGAAAUAAUCCCAAAUUUGGGAAAUCCUGUUUCUCCUAAAGACGUUUCUCAAGAAAAACUGACUGUGUGCAGUGAUCUUGAAAUAAAUGCAGUGCAGGAGGAGAAUAUUGAACCAAAGGGUGGGAGAAGAUCACUGAGCUCCUGUGAACUUCCUGAGGAGAUCCCUGACCCCACUGAAGGCGUGAGCAAAGAUCUCACUGAACUAAAGAGCACCAGAGAUCUCCUGGAGACUGAGCUGCAGAACAGCAGGAGAGAGCCACAAGAACUGGGCAGUGUCUGCAACAGUCACAGUUUGGUCUUGCCUGUAAUUACAAAAUCUUCAGCAUUACAGGAUGUAGCCAGGAGACAGAACUGUGGCUCUGCAUCGUAUCAGGGACUUGAAGGUUUCUUUGUUGUAGGUGCAAACGCUAAACAAGAAAAGCUGGAGGCUCCUUCUUCCCUGGCUGCUGCCUCCAGCCCUCGGGACAGGAUUUCUUUUCCAGGAGAUGGGCAGUGGGUUUCUGAAAGGAGCUUAAGUGAAUAUGCUGAUGACUCUGUAGUUCAAGGUGUCUUGGAAAGUCAGCUGAACAGAGCUGCAAAUGCUUUCCAGGCUCAAAAGCAACUUUGUCCUCUGAUGGCAGCGUGGAUGCCAUGGCCAGGCCCUGAAAAUCAUUCCAGCUUAACUUGUGAAGAUGGAACUUCAGGCAGAGCCUGGGAGAAGAUCUGUGAAAAUGCAGAUUUCCAGAGCACCCCGGAGCUGAAAGACCACGACACGUUUGAUAUUUUUGGGGACUGGGAGGAAAGCCAGAUGGAUGAUGAGGAAGCAGUUCUGGAGGACAAACAACAGGUUCUGGCAUUGCAAUGAACAUGAAAAACUAACUCCAGUCUUCACCUUUUUAUGGUUCAGAACCAAGAAGACCAAGAGGUGGAAUUUGGUGUCUCUAAAUGUGGUUUCAUGUUGCCAAGCUGGAAGGUGCCACCCCAGGGGUAUUAAUGGGAUAAACUGGGGUCUCUGUAGGAUCAGCUUUGUGCUGAGAAGCACAGGAGGAGACUCUAAGGUCAAGUACACUUUGUCACAUGUUUCAGAAGGGCCUUGCACCUUGCAGUGCAGCUUUCCACUGUACAUUUAACAUCUCCUGCCACACUCCUUUCUUCCUAACUCCAGCAGGGAGCCCAGGCCAGCAGCAAACCUCUGCUCAGAAUCAAUUGGGAAUGAAUUCCCUUUCUUUCUCUGCUCCAAAAUCCCAGUUCGGAGAGAUCUGUGUCCAGGCAAAUCCAGCUGUGCUGGAAAAGUACUUCAGCCACCCUAAUUCAUCCAAACUAGAAGGCAUCAGGCUGAACAGACCAUUGGUUUGAUUUCCUGCCUCAUUUCUUACCUUUAAGUUACUCUUCCAAAUAUUCCUGUUGCACUCAUUUCCCUGGCACAGACAGCCUGACUGCUUCCAUGCUGCUCCCAACCUUUUUUAACAGG